GCUAUGCGUUUUAAUUUUUAACUCUAUUUAUUGUGAUGUCCUAAUGUUUUUGAUUUAUUUUUUAAGUUAUUUUUGUAAAAUGUUUUAAUUUGUUUUUUUUUCUUAGGGUGUUAAAAGUUUGUUUUUUGAACUGGAUUAGUACCCAGGUAAUCAAAAUUAAUUAAUUCGGGAGUAAAGUUUUGUUUAAACCGAAAAAAUAUUGACUGACUUUAGAUUUUUCUUUGGAACAUGUGUUUUUUGGAGAGCCCUCCUUUUUAGUUAUUUUUAUCGGCACAUGUAUGAUUGUUUAGUUUUUAUUUUAUUUUGUAAUGCUUUUUUUGUUUUUUACAUUUAAAACAGAUAUAUAUUUGGCUUAUGAAUUUAUUUUUCAUGUGUUACUAUUAUGAAUUGUUUUGGAUUGAUUUUUUAUUUUUUUUUUGAAAUUGGAAAAGAAAGUAAUUUUUUUUUGAUGUUAUAGUGAAUUAAAUAAAUAAAGUGGUACAAACCA
RNAcentral lists this ribosomal RNA (487 nucleotides) under Onchocerca dewittei dewittei. RNAcentral's name for it is "partial small subunit ribosomal RNA". The record is from RNAcentral. Lineage: Eukaryota; Metazoa; Nematoda; Chromadorea; Rhabditida; Onchocercidae.